UUUCCGUAGGUGAACCUGAGGAAGGAUCAUUAUUGUAUAACCGAGGUGCGAGGGCUGUCGCUGACCCGAAAGGUCGUGCACGCCCGAGUGCCCUCACACACAUCCAUCUCACCCCUAUGUGCACCACCGCGUGGGUCCCCCUUUGGCUUGUUCGGAGGGGGGCUUACGUUUUCACACAAACUUUGUAUGCAGUGUAGAAUGUAUUUUUUGUUUUUGCGAUCACGCAAUCAAUACAACUUUCAACAACGGAUCUCUUGGCUCUCACAUCGAUGAAGAACGCAGC
RNAcentral lists this unclassified non-coding RNA (283 nucleotides) under plant metagenome. RNAcentral describes it as "partial contains small subunit ribosomal RNA, internal transcribed spacer 1, and 5.8S ribosomal RNA". The stretch from base 235 to 283 matches the Rfam family "5.8S ribosomal RNA", at positions 1 to 49 of the family's 154-position model. The record is from RNAcentral.